UGGGAGGGGGGCUUGCCCCCGAUUACGGUGGGUCAGUUACAGAUAAGUCGGCUGGUACACCGCCAUCGGGGGCAAGCCCCCUCCCAC
RNAcentral lists this unclassified non-coding RNA (87 nucleotides) under Pseudomonas synxantha. Lineage: Bacteria; Pseudomonadati; Pseudomonadota; Gammaproteobacteria; Pseudomonadales; Pseudomonadaceae. The record is from RNAcentral.